Molecule: non-coding RNA, 83 nt
Organism: Danio rerio (zebrafish)
Lineage: Eukaryota; Metazoa; Chordata; Actinopteri; Cypriniformes; Danionidae
Source: Rfam
GUCAGGAUGGCUGAGCAGUGUAAGGCGCUUUGUUCAGGACGCAGUCUCCCCUGGAUGAGUGGUUUCAAAUCCCGCUUCUGACA